Molecule: ribosomal RNA, 253 nt
Filed under: uncultured bacterium
Lineage: Bacteria
Description: partial 16S ribosomal RNA
Rfam family: Bacterial small subunit ribosomal RNA
Source: RNAcentral
UACGUAGGGUGCAAGCGUUAAUCGGAAUUACUGGGCGUAAAGCGUGCGCAGGCGGCGAUGUAAGACAGAUGUGAAAUCCCCGGGCUCAACCUGGGACCUGCAUUUGUGACUGCAUCGCUAGAGUACGGUAGAGGGGGAUGGAAUUCCGCGUGUAGCAGUGAAAUGCGUAGAUAUGCGGAGGAACACCGAUGGCGAAGGCAAUCCCCUGGACCUGUACUGACGCUCAUGCACGAAAGCGUGGGGAGCAAACAGG